Molecule: RNA transcript, 2617 nt
Organism: Cornus florida
Lineage: Eukaryota; Viridiplantae; Streptophyta; Magnoliopsida; Cornales; Cornaceae
Exons: 3
Source: RefSeq, a predicted model, not a curated record
UUGUCCCUCACAUACGAUUUGGGUUUUGAGGAGAACCAAAGAUUUGAUUUAGUUUUUUGAUAUUCAACACUCUUUUUCUCACACGCGAUUUGGGUUUUGUACACAGAAGGAAUAGGAGAACCAAGAUUUAAUUUAGGAUUUUAUCUUCUACUAUUGUACUCUCGCACACGAUUCUACGAAGAAAGAAGCAAAGGUUGAUGUCGAAUUGACUAUUGAGGAGAGGAAUUUGCUCUGUUGGGUACAAGAAUGUGAUUGGAGCUCGGAGGACUCCGAGGCGAAUUUUUUCUUCCAUAGAGUAAAAGGAGGAUGCAGGAGGUAACGAAUUGAAGGAGUACAGAUAAAAGGUUGAAUCGGAGUUAUCCAACAUUUGUAGUGAAAUUAUGACUGUUAUAGACGAGCAUUGCUUCUACUGGUGAAUCGACGGUGUUCUUCUACAAGAUGAAGGAGAUUAUUAUUAUUGGUAUUGGCUGAAUUUAAGUCUGUGAGGAGAUGAAAGAGGCAGCUGAUCAUUCACUCAAAGCAUAUAAGGUAAGGACAUACACCCAACACAGGCCUAUUAUACUCAUUGUGGUAGGCUUCACGAUUCAACUUCAAGAUCAUCACAGGAGGUCGCUAAACAAAGUUUUUUUGAGGUCAUUGAUGUUAUAAAUGUUUCAAUUCAAGAUUUGCUUAAAUAGGCCUUGGAUUUGGAUGUUAUAUUGGGUUUUCCUUUUGUACUGGAAAUAGUUGUCUCAUUUCUGAAGGUAUGCCCUGUGAACCUAUAAUUAAUUCUUCCUUUUAAACAACACAAAUUAAGAAAAAAAAAAAAAGGAAUAAAGAGGAAACAGGGGCUAAACAAGGAAGAAAUAGGAAUAUGAGUGGAGGAACCAAAAACAUGGAACACAAGUGUCAAAGGAGUUUGGAAGUUGCCAAUUUGUAGUGACAAAUUCUACAGGGGAUCGGACAAUGGGUGCAUCUAGUGGGAAAAAGUCUGCUGUAGCGGAAGUACACUAUUAAUAGAUUGGAUAACAUCUGGAGGACAACAUUGAUCAUUUAAAACUCUUUUGUUUCUCUCUCCAAAUAUCAUAUACACAACUACCAAGAGCUACUUUUGAAACUAAAACCUAUUGGACUUGGAUUUAGCUUUUCAAUUUGAUGAUGCCCGUAAACAACAUUUUGCUUUACUCCCUAUUUUGAGUAUAAUUCAUCUUUUGAAUAUCGUGAAGUCCGGCAUCAAAGAGUUUCAAAGACCUCAAAUUUACCCCAAACGUGAAGUCCUACAUCAAGGAGUUUCAAAGACUUCAAAUUUACCCCAAAUGUGAAAUUUCAUAGUUGCUUGACACUGAGUUAUUUUCACUAUUCAAUUGUGAAAUUGAUCCCAUAUUAGGUUUUUUUUGGUAUACUUGAUUUUAAACUCAACCGUAAACAUUGGGAGCUCAUAAUUUCCCUGUUGGGCAUUAAAUGAGAAACUAUAUGCGUGUGUAUAUCUAUAUUAUUAUUAAAAAUACAAGGGGUGUCAAGAAUUUUAAAUCAUCAUUAAAAAUAAAUAAAUAAUAAAAUAAAUUACCAUUUAAAAUUUAUCAAUUAAAAUAAAUCCUAUUAUACUCUUAUGUUACGUUUGGUAUGCAUGAAUGUAAUGGAAUGCCUGUUCCAACCACUCCUUUGUUUAAUAUGCAAUUUAAAGUGGGAAUGAUCAUUCUAUUUGAAUGAAAAUCUAUUUCACAACUAAACCUAUGGAAUGACCAUUUCAUUCUCAAGUAAUUUUUUGAGUUAAUUACAACGACACCCCCUGAGAUUUGUCAUAUUGACAGUCAUAUAGAACUUAACCCUUUUUUGGACAAAGACACCCUCUAAAGUUGUAAACUUGAAUAAUGACACCCCAAACAUGAUGAAAGUACAUGUUUACCCUUUGAUCACAUAAAAUGACCAAAUUACUCUCAUCCAAAAAAUCUUUUCUUCUUCCAAAUUUUCAAUCUCCCAUUCAUUCCGGCCAAUACACAACCACUACUCACCACCACCGUAACCUCCAUAACCACCAUCUUCUUCCCCGUUUCACCACCAUCACACAAACCCAACACCUCAAAAUUACACAUAUAUAUUUAUGGCCGAGCCAUCCAAACCCAUAUAAAUCACACAAACCCAACACACAUAGAUCACACCAUCCAAAAAAAAAAAAAAACACAGAUCGCCUCAAAAGGGGAUCUCGCGGCGAGCAAGAAGAAGCCCUCACCAGCCACCGCAAGUCCUCCACGACUGAGCCAUCCACAGUCAAUCCAAUUCCUAACUCGCCUCACCCACUUCCGCCUCUCAGCCACUACUCUCUGCAACGACAACAGCACCGGCGUCUGCCACCUCACCCUCGACCGAUACCCAACACACCAACCCUGCUCACAGAUCCAAGAUCUUCCUCAACCUUUUCUGAUCUUUGCCGUCCAUCGCUGCCGCCGCCGAUCUCACUCCUUACCGCCGUUGAUAUCCUCAACCUUCUCCGAUCUCUGUCGUCCAUCGCUGCUGCCGCCGAUCUCACUCCUUGCCGUCGUUGAUAUCCUCAACCUUCUCCGAUCUCUGCCGUCCACCGUUGCCGCCGCCGUUGAUAUAAUGCCAAACAAUAAAUCUCUUUCUCCCUUAAUCUUUUAUU